CAUUACCGAACUGUCAACAUGAGCUGUUGCUGGUCCUCAUAUGGGGGCAUGUGCACGCUCUGUUCACACAUCCAUUCACACCUGUGCACCCUCUGUAGUUCUAUGGCCUGGGGGACUCUGUCCUCUUGCUGUGGUCCUAUGUCUUUACACACACACUGUAAUAAAGUCUCAUGGAAUGUACAUCGCGUUUAACGCAAUACAAUACAACUUUCAGCAACGGAUCUCUUGGCUCUCGCAUCGAUGAAGAACGCAGCGAAAUGCGAUAAGUAAUGUGAAUUGCAGAAUUCAGUGAAUCAUCGAAUCUUUGAACGCACCUUGCGCCCUUUGGCUAUUCUGAAGGGCAUGCCUGUUUGAGUAUCAUGAACAUCUCAACUCUCAUGGUUUACCAUGAUGAGCUUGGACUUUGGGGGUCUUGCCGACCAGCGGUCGGCUCCUCUCAAACAAAUUAGCUUGCCAGUGUUUGGUGGCAUCACAGGUGUGAUAACUAUCUACGCUUGUGGUUUCCUGCCAGGUAUCCUUCAGCAAUGGAGGUUCACUGGAGCUCAUAAAUGUCUCUCCCCAGCGAGGACAGCUUCUUGAACGUUUGAUCUCAAAUCAGGUAGGACUACCC
This 610-nucleotide ribosomal RNA is filed under the name uncultured Basidiomycota. RNAcentral's name for it is "eukaryotic LSU rRNA". The stretch from base 206 to 360 matches the Rfam family "5.8S ribosomal RNA". The record is from RNAcentral. Lineage: Eukaryota; Fungi; Basidiomycota.